Molecule: small RNA, 164 nt
Filed under: Drosophila erecta
Lineage: Eukaryota; Metazoa; Arthropoda; Insecta; Diptera; Drosophilidae
Description: GG26703
Source: RNAcentral
CAUCCCCAAAUUCCACAGCACCUUCAAACACUACGGCGUGCUUCUUCUUAAAACGCGGCAUAAAAGAGGUGCACUCCACAAGCACGAAAAAAUUUACAUGUGAAAGUGAAAACGUGACAACACGAUAAAACGGACGAAGCAAGCAAAACAAAACACGAGUGCAU